GUCUAUCAACCCAGUGUACUUAUGUGGGUCUUCUAUUUUUCUAGCGCUGUGUAUGAGGUCUAUAUAGGGAGUAUUAUUUGGAUUAGAGAAGCUCCAUAGGAGAGCAUAGCGUGGUUGACCGUAGUAAAAACCCCGAUAGGCUUAAGCGGGGUUUUUAUUUUUCUUUUUGGAGUUUGUGGAUUCGUUUUACUUGGAGUUUUCGUUUUUGGAUUUUUGUAUAUGGUUUCUGGUUUUACUUUUUGUGGAUGUUUUUGGUUACAUUUGGAUGCUGAGAGUCGUCAUUGGAUACAAGUAUAUGUGGUGAAGAAGAUUUCUACUAACGAAUUGUAGUUUGUUACCAGACUAUGGAGGAUAUCAGGUUUUUAUAACAAUGUUAAACAUUUAAAUUCAUUUGUCUUAUUUAUUUUAUAUUAUUUAAUGAUAGUAAAUAUUUUAGGUUCUUUUUUUGUUAACAAAUUAACGUGUUCCUUUUUUUUUUAUUAUUAUUAUUAAAAUUUAUUGGGGAUAGUCAUACAUUCAACUUUAUAUACAUAUAACUUAUUAUAGAGGUCAUUAUAGUACAUUACUUUUUAGAUUUGUAUUAGUGGCACUCAUCAGCUCAUGCGGCAACUAUAGGGUAGGCACUAGUAUCGCCAAUGUUUAAAAUAUUUCUAAUCUGUAAAUUUAAAUUAUUUUGAUAUUCAUUUCCUUAGCCACUUUAUGCUACCAAUGACUGGACUUGUUUAUUUUCAUAUUUAUUUGUGUUGCAACUGUUUAAUAAAUAAAUGUAAGUAAA
Molecule: long non-coding RNA, 775 nt
Organism: Diabrotica virgifera virgifera (western corn rootworm)
Lineage: Eukaryota; Metazoa; Arthropoda; Insecta; Coleoptera; Chrysomelidae
Exons: 2
Source: RefSeq, a predicted model, not a curated record